GUCUUCGUGGUGUAGUGGUCAGCACGCUCGGCGCGUACCCGAGAGGUCCGUGGUUCGAUUCCCGGCCAAGGCG
RNAcentral lists this transfer RNA (73 nucleotides) under Stegodyphus mimosarum. It matches the Rfam family "tRNA". From Rfam's summary of the family: Transfer RNA (tRNA) molecules are approximately 80 nucleotides in length. Their secondary structure includes four short double-helical elements and three loops (D, anti-codon, and T loops). Lineage: Eukaryota; Metazoa; Arthropoda; Arachnida; Araneae; Eresidae. The record is from Rfam by way of RNAcentral.